Molecule: ribosomal RNA, 836 nt
Filed under: Actinomadura sp. IM-7397
Lineage: Bacteria; Bacillati; Actinomycetota; Actinomycetes; Streptosporangiales; Thermomonosporaceae
Description: bacterial SSU rRNA
Rfam family: Bacterial small subunit ribosomal RNA
Source: RNAcentral
GGCGGCGUGCUUAACACAUGCAAGUCGAGCGGAAAGGCCCUUCGGGGGUACUCGAGCGGCGAACGGGUGAGUAACACGUGAGCAACCUGCCCCUGACUCUGGGAUAAGCCCGGGAAUGGGGUCUAAUACCGGAUAUGACCACGGGUUCGCAUGCCCUUGUGGUGGAAAGUUUUUCGGUUGGGGAUGGGCUCGCGGCCUAUCAGCUUGUUGGUGGGGUGAUGGCCUACCAAGGCGACGACGGGUAACCGGCCUGAGAGGGCGACCGGUCACACUGGGACUGAGACACGGCCCAGACUCCUACGGGAGGCAGCAGUGGGGAAUAUUGCGCAAUGGGCGGAAGCCUGACGCAGCGACGCCGCGUGGGGGAUGACGGCCUUCGGGUUGUAAACCUCUUUCAGCAGGGACGAAGCUAACGUGACGGUACCUGCAGAAGAAGCGCCGGCUAACUACGUGCCAGCAGCCGCGGUAAUACGUAGGGCGCAAGCGUUGUCCGGAAUUAUUGGGCGUAAAGAGCUCGUAGGCGGUUUGUCGCGUCUGUCGUGAAAGCCCACGGCUUAACUGUGGGUCUGCGGUGGAUACGGGCAGACUAGAGGCAGGUAGGGGAGAAUGGAAUUCCCGGUGUAGCGGUGAAAUGCGCAGAUAUCGGGAGGAACACCGGUGGCGAAGGCGGUUCUCUGGGCCUGUACUGACGCUGAGGAGCGAAAGCGUGGGGAGCGAACAGGAUUAGAUACCCUGGUAGUCCACGCCGUAAACGUUGGGCGCUAGGUGUGGGGUCCUUCCACGGAUUCCGCGCCGCAGCUAACGCAUUAAGCGCCCCGCCUGGGGAGUACGGCCGC